UACGAAGGACCCAAGCGUUAUCCGGAUUUAUUGGGUUUAAAGGGUGCGUAGGCGGGUUGUUAAGUCAGUGGUGAAAGCUCCGAGCCUAACUCGGAAACUGCCAUUGAUACUGAUGAUCUUGAGUACAUUUGAGGUGGGCGGAAUGUGUCAUGUAGCGGUGAAAUGCUUAGAGAUGACAAAGAACACCGAUUGCGAAGGCAGCUCACUAAACUGUAACUGACGCUGAGGCACGAAAGCGUGGGGAGCAAACAGG
Molecule: ribosomal RNA, 253 nt
Filed under: uncultured bacterium
Lineage: Bacteria
Description: partial 16S ribosomal RNA
Rfam family: Bacterial small subunit ribosomal RNA
Source: RNAcentral